This 3780-nucleotide long non-coding RNA is filed under the name Homo sapiens (human). RNAcentral's name for it is "HSALNT0404111". Lineage: Eukaryota; Metazoa; Chordata; Mammalia; Primates; Hominidae. The record is from RNAcentral.
CUUUUCUAACAAUCUCUCCUUUAUCCCAUGUUUUCUUUUUCUCUUUCCUCUCUCCUCCCCAAAUGAAUAUUAACAAAAUCUCUUGCCUCCUGGUGGAAUCAGAAUGAAUCCAUACAGACUAUACCUAUGUCAAACAUACCUAAGCAAAAUGCCACAGAGGAAAACUCAUGUUUUUAGCUCAACCCCUUUAUUGAGCUGAUUUUUUUCUAUUGCCCUGCUUUCCCUGAUAAAUAUUAUAUAUAUAUAUAUAUAUAAGCUGAAUAGACAUGGGCAAAAUUUGGUUCUUCUGGAUCAUGGAAAUUGGGCUUCGGGAUACAUGUUGGAAUCUGAGUUCCAGCAUUCUUGCAUAGUCUGGCAUCUUUAUGAGAAAUGGUCAGAAUUCCAUCCUUGAAGAAGGCUUCUAAUGGAAGAUCUCUGGAAGCAGAGGCAGUAAGCUUCUUUCGGGAAUGGGGUUAUAUGUCCAUCCUAUGCAAAGUGACUCUUGCAGCCACCACAUCAAGGGAGGCCCGUCCAAGGCUCAUGUGCUCUCCUGGCCUUCUCACGGCCAGACUGCAUGGGGAUCGUGGUCAAUCCUAAGAGAUGGAAUGGGUUUUUCAAAAGCACUUCCCCUAGAGAGAGCCCUCUACACUGGUCCAAAGGCAAUGCCAAGAGACGCAAACGGUCUGUUUCCCAUGGGAGACGAUGAUAUACCCACACGUCCCCUGCCCAGGCAUGUCGGUGGGGCCAGACCACGGCAUCUGGUUUGACAUAGAGCAGACAGGGUGAGGAACACUUUGCUUCUGUUGGAAAUGAAUGAUACUUCCUCUCCCCAGAGUACUGGGCUCUGCAAUUCACCCCAAGUGCAGCUGCUGCUGUUCUGGGUGCUUGAACUAAGUGGGAGCUGGAAGGGAUGGGGUGUCAUUCUGUCUUUAGGAAGGAAGGGCUGAGACUUCCUUAUUUUCUCCCCCCUCUCCCUGCUGACUCAAAGCUCAGGGCAUAAAUCAUUCCAUUUCUGUUUUCCCAGUGGAGAUGGUAUGCCUCAGUCUCCUUCUCUUUUGCUCUUUCUUUCCCUGGAAGCAAGGGACUCCUUUUCAGCCUGGGAGUAUAAAUGGUGGCCCUGGAAAGAAGACACUGGGCUCCCAGGGGUUCAGGGCAGGAGGAUGAAGAAGCUACACGAGAUUUGGACUUCUUAGAGCUGGUACUCCCGGAGUCUAGAAUCAGAUAGACCUCCCGCGAGGAUAUGCUAAAAGUCCCAUAGAAAACAGUGGGGAAAACAACUUCCUCUUCUGAACAAUCUUUCAGAGGACAUUCCUCCUAGAGUUUAAAACAUUACAGUCUCCAGAGCCCAGCGCCAAUUCCGUGUCAGCCCACAACCCGCUCUGGUUGCACAGCUUCACGAGUCACAAGGACUGGAUGGACAAGUGUGUGUGCCUAGUGACUGCCUUCUCCCAGCACAUGCACCAUGUCCCGGUGGCAUUGCCGGAGAUGGUCCGUGCCCUCUCAGCCCAGCAGCAGACCCUCAGGCAGAUCACCAUCUGUGGAGACCGCCAGGCCAAGGACACCAAAGUUCUGGUGCAGUGCGUCCACCCUGUCUACAUUCCUAACAUGGUGCUGAUUCUGGCUGAUGGGGACCCCUCGAGUUUCCUGUCCCACUGGCUGCCUUUCCUGAGUACCCUCCGAAGGCAGGAAGACCAGGCCACUGCGUAUGUGUGUGAGAAUCAAGCCUGCUCAAUGCUCAUCAUGGAUCCCUGUGAAUUACGAAAACUGCUACAUCCGUGACUGCCCCAACCCUCUUGGGCUGGGGCAGAAGGUAGAGCUUCCCAACUGACUAAAGACUCAGGUCCUGCAGGGCCGUGUAGAACUUGUGGCCAUCCCUGAGCACCCUGCCACCAGGAAGCUGAAAAGAAGGCCCAGGUGCUCCCUCCUUUGGAAUUGGUGGGAAAUUUAAACCCCACAAGCCUCUACCCCUGUGCAAAAGCCUUCACCCCAGCCUCAUCUCUACCCACAAUAAACGCCAAGCCAGUCUCUCUUCUCUGGAUUCUAAAGCUAUUUUUGGAUCAUUAUGUAAGCAAUAAACCUUUCCAUACUUUCUUAGUGGAUUCAUAUAUGGUAUCAUCAGUCUCAACAUCUGAACCAAAUUUUGGGUGAGAAGUUCGUCCUGCCUCUGGGAAAUCUCUUUAGAAGAGUUUGCCAAUAGACAUGUCAUCUUUGCCCAUUGCCCCUUUCCCUUCCUCUUGCUGCUGGUGGACCAAACAGCCCUCUUGUAACACAGAGUACCACGCCUGUGCCAAGGAUGACUGAGUAGAAAUGAAAAGGAACUGGGUCCCUGGUGACAUUGUGAGUUACCCUCCCACCCAUAGACUGUCUGCUUCUGGACCCUUCAGUCAGGAAGAACAAGCUGAAUGUGUGCAGCCGCUUAUAGUUGAAGAUAAUCCCAAACAUAAGGCUUAUGAUUGAAUAAUCUUUUAUGACUUCAGGAGCAGAAAUCAGUAUUUUUCCUGGGAUGUGAACAGGCAACAAACAUAAUACUUGUACCACACAUAGGAGUAAGCCAUUCUCAGUGGAGGGCCCCUGUAGCUAAGGGACACUGGAAUUUCCAGGGCUAACCUCAUUUUGGGUGAAACGUUAGGGGAAACAAGGCUGCAUAAAUUCACAGGGAGAGCCUGUUUCCAUCACUGGAAAAUGGUCUGAAAAUCAGUCUACAGUAGAUUUUAAAGAUAGUUUCAGAACAAAGCAUCUGACUUGGGAAUCCACCCAUAUGUGUCUAUCUCAUGCUGUUAAUGGGCUUAAGAAAAUGAAAGUGUCAGGAAGAAACGGCAUGUUUAUGGAGCACCAAGUCAGCCACUAGCAAAGUACUAGAUAUGCAGACAGAGGAGAAUACAGGCUUCCUCCCCUACCCCCUGGUGGAGGGUAUUUGUGCAGUAAUACUCUAAAAAGUCAUUAAGAGAAUGACAUCAGGUGCCUUCUAAUAGAAUUAGAAUUUGAUUUCAUUUGUCCAAAGCUUUUGUUAUGUUUAUAUUUUUCUAUAUGGAUACAAAUACCAGCCAGAGCAAGUGACGGUGAAGAAAAUCAUGUCAGCCAGGUACAGGAAACUGAAAGCUAGACUCACCAUCCCUGCCUCAAUAAGCCCAAUGGCAUUUCUCAUCCUGACCUGGCAGGUAAGACAGAAAACAGAGGGGUUGGGAUGCAGAGCCUCCUGGGCCUCCAUAUAAGCAUUGGGAUGAAACAAUAUAAUAUUUAUUUUUUGAAGAAAUGCAUGAAUAAAAAGUCUAUGGGCAAAAGGAAAUAAUACAAUUGUGGAACAGAAAUAUUAACACAAUCUAAACCAUUUAUCAUUAGAAAAAUGAUAUAUUCUGGAAAAAAACAUUUCUAAUUGAAGCUCAUCAAAGAUCCAAAUGUUUUAUCUUUAUAUUUCACUUAGUUGUCAGUAAAAAUUGCAAACAACUUCUAGAGUGCUUUACAGAUGAACAGAUGUUGAUAUCUUUAAGCGGUAUUUUAUAAGUAACUUUAAGUACUCAGUAUCUUAGUAAUUUUGCUAGUCCACAUUUCAAAGACAAAAUUUGAAACAUUCAUAUUAUUGAUAGAGUAAAUGUGCAAUCAAAACAAAGAAAAAAACAGGAGGACAAAUUAUACUCACUGAGCUCUUGCUGUGGCACUCCCUAUGGUAGCAAUCGAGGGUAUCUACACUUGAUUUUCAAGGAAUAAUAAAUAAGCUCAAAUUCCAGCUCAACUUUUUUUGUUUGUUUUUUUGCUUGAGAUGAAGUCUUGCUCUGUUGCCUGGGCUGGAGUGCAGUGGCACGA